RNAcentral lists this ribosomal RNA (585 nucleotides) under uncultured eubacterium ONG2. RNAcentral describes it as "bacterial SSU rRNA". It matches the Rfam family "Bacterial small subunit ribosomal RNA", at positions 338 to 916 of the family's 1533-position model. The record is from RNAcentral.
CCUACGGGAGGCAGCAGUGGGGAAUUUUGGACAAUGGGCGCAAGCCUGAUCCAGCAAUGCCGCGUGCAGGAAGAAGGCCUUCGGGUUGUAAACUGCUUUUGUACGGAGCGAAACGGUUCGGGUUAAUACCCUGGGCUAAUGACGGUACCGUAAGAAUAAGCACCGGCUAACUACGUGCCAGCAGCCGCGGUAAUACGUAGGGUGCAAGCGUUAAUCGGAAUUACUGGGCGUAAAGCGUGCGCAGGCGGUUUUGUAAGACAGGCGUGAAAUCCCCGGGCUCAACCUGGGAAUGGCGCUUGUGACUGCAAAGCUGGAGUGCGGCAGAGGGGGAUGGAAUUCCGCGUGUAGCAGUGAAAUGCGUAGAUAUGCGGAGGAACACCGAUGGCGAAGGCAAUCCCCUGGGCCUGCACUGACGCUCAUGCACGAAAGCGUGGGGAGCAAACAGGAUUAGAUACCCUGGUAGUCCACGCCCUAAACGAUGUCAACUGGUUGUUGGGUCUCUUCUGACUCAGUAACGAAGCUAACGCGUGAAGUUGACCGCCUGGGGAGUACGGCCGCAAGGUUGAAACUCAAAUGAAUUGACGG